RNAcentral lists this ribosomal RNA (468 nucleotides) under uncultured bacterium. RNAcentral describes it as "partial 16S ribosomal RNA". It matches the Rfam family "Bacterial small subunit ribosomal RNA", at positions 28 to 507 of the family's 1533-position model. The record is from RNAcentral.
GACGAACGCUGGCGGCGUGCUUAACACAUGCAAGUCGAACGGAAAGGCCCUGCUUUUGUGGGGUGCUCGAGUGGCGAACGGGUGAGUAACACGUGAGUAACCUGCCCUUGACUUUGGGAUAACUUCGGGAAACUGGGGCUAAUACCGGAUAGGAGCUCCUGCUGCAUGGUGGGGGUUGGAAAGUUUCGGCGGUUGGGGAUGGACUCGCGGCUUAUCAGCUUGUUGGUGGGGUAGUGGCUUACCAAGGCUUUGACGGGUAGCCGGCCUGAGAGGGUGACCGGCCACAUUGGGACUGAGAUACGGCCCAGACUGCUACGGGAGGAAGCAGUGGGGAAUAGUGCAAGAAGGGCGGAAGCCGGGAGCAGCAACGCCGGGUGCGGGAUGACGGCCGUAGGGGUGGAAACCGCUUUAGCCUGUGACGAAGAGUGAGUGACGGUAAUGGGUAAAGAAGCACCGGCUAACUACGUG